AAAUCCUUUUGAGGUUGAUACCGUGCUGUAAUAGACCAACACAGAAAGGGCAAGUAAGUCUCCAUAAGACCCAGGGAAGAGAUUAUAAAAAGCUCCUCUUUGGAUCCUGGAUGCAGUCAAGAGG
Sorex fumeus (smoky shrew) is the source of this 124-nucleotide small nucleolar RNA. RefSeq annotates it as small nucleolar RNA SNORA26. NCBI's taxonomy places the organism in Eukaryota, Metazoa, Chordata, Mammalia, Eulipotyphla, Soricidae. The record is from RefSeq and is a predicted model, not a curated record. The transcript has a single exon.